GGGGAUGUCCGGUUUCGACGGGGGCUGUAGACAUCUCGGGAGCCAUCCGCAGGCUGGACUGCGUCAUCAACCGGACCUAAAUAUAAACGCUAAAAAUAACAACGCUUACGCGUUCGCAGCCUGAUGGCUGUCAUCCGACCUGAGGUUCCUGCGCCUCGGCCACCGGGUGUCAUAGUAAGGCAGGGAACUUUCCGUCCUAAGCUUUGCGGGCGGAUCAGAUUCAUGAAGCUACCGGAGCGUCUAUCCUGUCGACGGGAGAGCGCCGAGGGAAACACAAAACAUCGACUAUGAUGGUAGCUGGCCUGGGAUCGAAGGGCUUUCGGACAGGAGUUCGAUUCUCCUCAUCUCCAU
RNAcentral lists this transfer-messenger RNA (351 nucleotides) under bovine gut metagenome. It matches the Rfam family "transfer-messenger RNA". Rfam says of the family: Bacterial tmRNA, also known as 10Sa RNA or SsrA, is named for its dual tRNA and mRNA-like properties. Its role is to liberate the mRNA from a stalled ribosome. The record is from RNAcentral.